Molecule: ribosomal RNA, 253 nt
Filed under: uncultured bacterium
Lineage: Bacteria
Description: partial 16S ribosomal RNA
Rfam family: Bacterial small subunit ribosomal RNA
Source: RNAcentral
UACGAAGGGGGCUAGCGUUGCUCGGAAUUACUGGGCGUAAAGGGCGCGUAGGCGGACAGUUUAGUCAGAGGUGAAAGCCCAGGGCUCAACCUUGGAAUAGCCUUUGAUACUGACUGUCUUGAGUUCGGGAGAGGUGAGUGGAAUGCCGAGUGUAGAGGUGAAAUUCGUAGAUAUUCGGCGGAACACCAGUGGCGAAGGCGACUCACUGGCCCGAUACUGACGCUGAGGCGAGAAAGCGUGGGGAGCAAACAGG